UUGGGUAGAACACAAGGUUCUCUUCAACAUCGUUGGGCUGUUAUUCAAGAACAAGUGAAUAAGUUUAGUGCGUGUUAUGCUCAGGUUAUGAAUAGAAACCAAAGUGGGAUGACACAUGAGAAUAAGCUAGCUCAAGCACUUGUUAAGUAUGCUAGCAAUGAGGGAAAUAAACCAUUUGGACUGAUGCAUUGCUUUAAUAAGUUGGAAGACACCAAGAAGUGGAAAUCUCGACCUAGAAUAAAAAAACACAAGACAUGCUCCAUGGAUACUCCGGGUACAUCAUCUAGUGUGUUCGAGGAUGAAGCUACAUCUCCCUGCAAAAGUGUUCCCACGAAAAGGCCAAUUGGUCAGAAGAGGG
Molecule: long non-coding RNA, 358 nt
Organism: Brachypodium distachyon (stiff brome)
Lineage: Eukaryota; Viridiplantae; Streptophyta; Magnoliopsida; Poales; Poaceae
Exons: 2
Source: RefSeq, a predicted model, not a curated record